CCCAGUUACCAGAUUAGGGAACUGUCUCCUGACUUGCCAGCAUAAGGAUGCAAACUAGGGCAUAACACCUUAUCCAUCAGUCUGUCCCUUUCUUUUCUCAAAUUCCAUGAUGACUGGCCUUCAGUUGUGCCUUGGAGAUGGAAGUUGCUACUGACGGCUGCAUGCAGUGGAGUGUUGGUCUAUGCAGAUCAACAGAAGUGUUGGAAACUUCUAUCCUGCCCUGAAUUUUACUACUUAGGGAUCAUGGAACUGACAAGUGUCAUUGUGAAGAACUGUGAGCCAGCCAUUCUAAACCAAAUUCUGAACCUUGUCAAGAACCUCCCCUACAGCCUGGAUAAUCAUGAGAAGAUCCCAGCCAGGAGCUUCUAUGCAGAGCUCCUCUGGCACUGAUCAGUGGCUGAGACUCUGGUGCAAGACUUCUGGGCAAUCUAACCAGCUGGUUUAAGGAACCCAAUCUCAUCAAGGAAAUCAGGCUUCAUGGGAUCAGGAACCUGGCACUGCACCCAGGAAAAGUAAGAGUGGGGGACCAAAUGGGAAUCAAGUGUCCGUCUCUGAACCACUUAAUGUACCUCCCUUGGGUGUUUUAAUUACCAGAGGCUUAGUUUAUUCCCCACCCCUCAUUCUAGGUCAGUACAACAUCCAGUCUGUGGACUUAUACAGCCUGGCCGUCAGGCCUCCCACACACGCUGAGCACCAGCCCCACCACGUUCUCAGUGCAUCCAGCCCCUCGAUUCCUUGUGUCUGUUUCUCUUAGGUACCACCUCUUUUCUCAGAUAAAUCCCUGUCCCUAAAGUGUUGCAUGAUCCCCAGGUGGUAAGUGAUCCUAUACCUUCUUCCAAAUAGUCUUUGAUGAGCCUGGUUUCAUUCUUGAAAGACCUCCUGAAGGAUGAUUGGCGAGUGAGAGUUCAGGUGGUAAAGGCCCUAUAGAUAAUCAUCUACCAUGAAUAGAAAGGACACCAAGCUGGUCUUUGGUAGCAUUGCCAAGCAACUGUGUCCACUCAUCAAUGACGUACGGGCCUAAGUCCCUGGGAGUAGUUGGAACAGUAUGGGCUGGAGCUGCAGAUGAUCUGUUGAAGCUGAAUUAAGGAUUCUGGGGCUGGGCUACAGGACUGUGGUGGAAGGUCGAA
Long non-coding RNA from Phyllostomus discolor (pale spear-nosed bat), 1127 nucleotides. RefSeq lists it as uncharacterized. The transcript is spliced from 3 exons. The record is from RefSeq and is a predicted model, not a curated record. NCBI's taxonomy places the organism in Eukaryota, Metazoa, Chordata, Mammalia, Chiroptera, Phyllostomidae.